RNAcentral lists this ribosomal RNA (432 nucleotides) under uncultured bacterium. RNAcentral describes it as "partial 16S ribosomal RNA". It matches the Rfam family "Bacterial small subunit ribosomal RNA", at positions 29 to 506 of the family's 1533-position model. The record is from RNAcentral.
AACGAACGCUGGCGGCAUGCCUAACACAUGCAAGUCGAACGAGACCUUCGGGUCUAGUGGCGCACGGGUGCGUAACGCGUGGGAACCUGCCCUUAGGUUCGGAAUAACUCCCCGAAAGGGGUGCUAAUACCGGAUAAUGUCUUCGGACCAAAGAUUUAUCGCCUUUGGAUGGGCCCGCGUUGGAUUAGCUAGUUGGUAGGGUAAAAGCCUACCAAGGCGACGAUCCAUAGCUGGUCUGAGAGGAUGAUCAGCCACACUGGGACUGAGACACGGCCCAGACCCCUACGGGGGGGAGCAGGGGGGAAAAUUGGACAAGGGGCGAAAGCCUGACCCAGCAAUGCCGGGGGGGUGAUGAAGGCCUUAGGGUUGUAAAGCUCUUUUACCCGGGAUGAUAAGGCAAGUACCGGGAAAAAAAGCCCCGGCUAACCCCGU